This 484-nucleotide ribosomal RNA is filed under the name uncultured bacterium. RNAcentral describes it as "partial 16S ribosomal RNA". It matches the Rfam family "Bacterial small subunit ribosomal RNA", at positions 30 to 507 of the family's 1533-position model. The record is from RNAcentral.
AUUGAACGCUGGCGGCAGGCCUAACACAUGCAAGUCGAGCGGAUGAAGGGAGCUUGCUCCUGGAUUCAGCGGCGGACGGGUGAGUAAUGCCUAGGAAUCUGCCUGGUAGUGGGGGAUAACGUCCGGAAACGGGCGCUAAUACCGCAUACGUCCUGAGGGAGAUAGUGGGGGAUCUUCGGACCUCACGCUCUCAGAUGAGCCUAGGUCGGAUUAGCUAGUUGGUGGGGUAAAGGCCUACCAAGGCGACGAUCCGUAACUGGUCUGAGAGGAUGAUCAGUCACACGGGAACUGAGACACGGUCCAGACUCCUACGGGAGGCAGCAGUGGGGAAUAUUGGACAAUGGGCGAAAGCCUGAUCCAGCCAUGCCGCGUGUGUGAAGAAGGUCUUCGGAUUGUAAAGCACUUUAAGUUGGGAGGAAGGGAAGUAAGUUAAUACCUUGCUGUUUUGACGUUACCAACAGAAUAAGCACCGGCUAACUUCGUG